GCCCUGUUAGCUCAGUCGGUUAGAGCCGCGAACUCAUAAUUCGCUGGUCACUGGUUCAAGCCCAGUACAGGGCACCA
This 77-nucleotide transfer RNA is filed under the name Bifidobacterium callitrichidarum. Its description in RNAcentral is "tRNA-Met". The record is from RNAcentral. Lineage: Bacteria; Bacillati; Actinomycetota; Actinomycetes; Bifidobacteriales; Bifidobacteriaceae.